GCCGGGCAUGGUGGCUCACGCCUGUAAUCCCAGCACUUUGGGAGGCCGAGGCGGGUGGAUCACAAGGUCAGGAAAUCGAGGCCAUCCUGGCCAACAUGGUGAAACCCCAUCUCUACUAAAAAUACAAAAAUUAGCUGAGUUUGGUGGCAUGAGCCUGUAAUCCCAGUUACUUCGGAGGCUGAGGCAGGAGAAUUGCUUGAACCUGGGAGGUGGAGAUUGUAGUGAGCUGAGAUACCACCACAUCUGGCUAAUUUUUUGUAUUUUUAGUAGAGAUGGGGUUUUACCAUGUUGGCUAGGCUAGUCUCGAAUUCCUGACCUCAGGUGAUCUGCCCGUCUUGG
This 339-nucleotide small RNA is filed under the name Macaca fascicularis (crab-eating macaque). RNAcentral describes it as "Metazoan signal recognition particle RNA (ENSMFAG00000053685.1)". The record is from RNAcentral. Lineage: Eukaryota; Metazoa; Chordata; Mammalia; Primates; Cercopithecidae.